RNAcentral lists this unclassified non-coding RNA (444 nucleotides) under uncultured Nostocaceae cyanobacterium. RNAcentral describes it as "partial contains 16S ribosomal RNA, 16S-23S ribosomal RNA intergenic spacer, and 23S ribosomal RNA". The stretch from base 1 to 120 matches the Rfam family "Bacterial small subunit ribosomal RNA", at positions 1414 to 1533 of the family's 1533-position model. The record is from RNAcentral. Lineage: Bacteria; Bacillati; Cyanobacteriota; Cyanophyceae; Nostocales; Nostocaceae.
GCCACGCCCGAAGUCAUUACCCCAACCGCAAGGGGGGGGAUGCCUAAGGUAGGACUGAUGACUGGGGUGAAGUCGUAACAAGGUAGCCGUACCGGAAGGUGUGGCUGGAUCACCUCCUUUUAGGGAGACCUAUCCAUUUAGAAAUCGAAAAAAUGAAAAUUGUCAAUAGAAACUAAAUUGGUCUAACCUAGGUCGUUCGAGAUUGGUAGAUAUCUUUCAAAGUAUUAUUCGGCUUUGUUCAAAACCAUAGAUAAUAAAUGGAAAAAAGACAGCACCUAAUUGUCAAAGUUAGACUGCUGGAUGAAAUUCCAGCCAGAACCUUGAAAACUGCAUAAGAGAACGAGAAAAAGCAGGCAGACACAGACAUUUGAAUGGAUGUGAAAGCAAAGAAAAAUUGUGGUCAAGCUAAUAAGGGCUAAUGGUGGAUACCUAGGCACACAGAGG